Molecule: non-coding RNA, 1321 nt
Organism: Paramisgurnus dabryanus
Lineage: Eukaryota; Metazoa; Chordata; Actinopteri; Cypriniformes; Cobitidae
Source: RefSeq, a predicted model, not a curated record
AGUGGGAGAAGGUGAUUGACAGCUGUGUUUACCUAUCAGAGAGUAGGGCUCUCUACUUAAGGGCUGAUUGGUUGACGCCUUGUGUGUGUCAUGUCUGAUCCCUCCCCCCGUGUCUGUUGACGGUCGUUACAGUGUGUUGGUUCCGAUGUUGGUGCCAGUUAGCACUGUUAAAUGGCUUUUAAGAGUGCUAGCCUCUCAGGCUGACUCCCUGUAUGCCAGGGCACUGGUGGCUGCCAUGACAGCUGUAUGCCGGUGUCCGUAAGGUGUUGUGCCUGGUGUAAGAAGCGGAUUCUCCCUCUCGUUCCGGGCCGUGAUUAGUUCUGCCGCUUACCUCUUCGCGCUGUUUUAGCGCUGCUAAGUUUGCCUGCUGUGUGGAUGGGUUGCCAUUAUUAAAGGGUGCUGCUGGUGUCUGGUCAAUCUUUGUAAAAUCGCACCGUAGUGCUCCAAUUCAUAUACGUGUUGGGGACAUGAACAUUUCUGUUUUAAAGAGUCAAUGAUGCUCUGUGAUUUCCCCUUUCCAACCCAUUUAAAUAUUUUGUUUCUUUUGUGAAUUUAUUUUUAUUUAUAAUUUGUUUGCUGCACGUGACUCCUCAUAUUUGUAAUGUGCCCUUGUGUGUGUGGUCUAGUGGCCCGAAUAAUACACUGUGACAGAGGGGAGUGGUAUGUGUAAUUAACCCUCCAAAUGUUUUAUGGUCUCUGCCGGUUGUGUAUCGUAUCAAUGGUCACUUUAAAGGAGUUGUGAGUGUGUAUGUAAGAAGUAGUAAACCAUCCAUUAAAUGUGUUUAUAAUUCGUUUUUUUUGUGUCUUUAACCUUUAUUUUUGUUCAUCGCAGGAGCUGGGGUCCCACGGGUGACAGGAAUUUCUACAGUGGUGGUGGUGCUUCUCAUCGUGUGCUGUGUAACAUCUUGUGUGUUUCGUAGUGUGGUUUGAGUGCACUUUGGUGUGUGUGUGUGGUUGUGUGGAAGUGUGCUCUGCUCAAACUGAACUCUGUCCUUUGCCGUUGGGAGCCUCAGCCCUGCUGGUAACAUCCUUUUUCUUUAUUUGUUUUGAUUCUACUUUUGUUAUUAGUAUUGUGUCUUCCUUUUUCUUUUGAAGGAGUACUUGGUGUGUCUUAAUUGAGUGUUUUUAAAUAUUGUAUCAAUAAAAUUUUGUAACAUUUUUUAUGAUACCCACGUCUCCUGCCUACUUUAUUAUAAGGGACCGAACCUGUGUCCUUCACCCAUCAUUUUGGGGGUAAUUUGAGAUUUCCCCGGGUGCAAUUCCCGGGGUGGCGUAGUCGGAGUUCCUUAAAAUCUUAGGCUCAUGUUCUCUCUCUAGCACC